UAAACGUAGCCAUUACGACUUUCAGACUUAAAGCGGUUCAUUUGACAAAAACUCUCGCACACGCUGGGAUGGAAUGUUAUCAACUACAGCUUGGCUAUCAUGUUUUAUAUAAAUGAACCGUGAAACACGGCAAAAGAGCUGCAGCAGAGUCUUAUGUAUCACGGAAGAAGAAACAGAGACGUCGGUUGAAGUUUGAAAACUUCUACUGUCGUCAACAUUGGAGAAAUUACGAAAUCAAAUGACAAAGAAAAUCGACAGAGGUGAUUCUGAGAUUUUUUUGGAAUGAGUUCUCUUAUCUGUUCAGGAAUGUUAAUCAGAUCUGACAGUGACAAAGUGCGUUUCUCCAACCUCUUGUUCAUCCGUUCAGGUUAAAGCACAGAAGACAUUAGGCUAAGGUAGCGAUGGGCAACGCCUGGGCACUAGUUUUUGUUCGAAUCCGUCGUCUAGAAUUUCUCAAAGGGCCAUUAGCUUUAACUCCUUAACAAAUACUCUUUUCAGAAGAAACCGACGCUAUUUUGGAGACAGAGCUUCCUCUGUUUGUUGAUGGCACUUUCAUUCUCCCCCUCCCCUAACCUCUCAUACCUCUUCAAAGAAAUGGGACUGAAUAAAAGAAAGAAAGCAAAGAAGAAAAUUGAAAAAAAGAUUAAUUAAUUACUUUAAGUCUUGGACACACGAGAUGAAACAAUUCACACUCAGAAUUCAGCACGACAUGAAGACAAAGAAAACAAAAACCACGAAGAAUCAGGUGAGAAGAAGCGAUUCUUUCAGUGUAGGAUGUCUACUCACAAAGACUUCUUAGUUCUACCAAAUUAUACUUCUGUCAUGAUUAAUUAGUCUUUUGCUAAAGGCACGUUUAGUUUCUAGGAAAACAACAAUAAAACUAUGCAAGUACUAAUGUUUUUGGUAACAUUUUCACGUAUUUUGUCUGAGGCUGCCACCUGAUGGGUGUGUGAUUAACUAAUAACAAGAAAUUCCAUCGAAAAGUAAGGGUAAUCAGACUUAAGGAAACCGGACGCCAUAAUGCCAGCCCAGAAACGACCAGACUUCAAAAACUGGGCGCCAUUAUGGUA
Long non-coding RNA from Limulus polyphemus (Atlantic horseshoe crab), 1070 nucleotides. RefSeq lists it as uncharacterized. Lineage: Eukaryota; Metazoa; Arthropoda; Merostomata; Xiphosura; Limulidae. The transcript is spliced from 3 exons. The record is from RefSeq and is a predicted model, not a curated record.